AUAUACCAUAGAAGUGUGAUCCCAAUACCUUAUGCAAACCCGAUGGAGAUUUCACUUUACUUAUUGGUGACUGGUACAAAACGCCAUAAGAUAUUGCAGCAAUCUUUGGACUCAGGAAAGCCUCUUCCAUUUCCUGAUGGAGUCCUUAUAAAUGGCCAGACUCGAACUACAUUUAGUGGCGAACAAGG
Hibiscus syriacus is the source of this 188-nucleotide long non-coding RNA. RefSeq lists it as uncharacterized. NCBI's taxonomy places the organism in Eukaryota, Viridiplantae, Streptophyta, Magnoliopsida, Malvales, Malvaceae. The record is from RefSeq and is a predicted model, not a curated record. The transcript is spliced from 2 exons.